This 392-nucleotide ribosomal RNA is filed under the name uncultured bacterium. RNAcentral's name for it is "partial 16S ribosomal RNA". It matches the Rfam family "Bacterial small subunit ribosomal RNA", at positions 523 to 918 of the family's 1533-position model. The record is from RNAcentral.
AUACGGAGGAUCCGAGCGUUAUCCGGAUUUAUUGGGUUUAAAGGGUGCGCAGGCGGCCAUUUAAGUCAGCGGUUAAAUCGUGGGGCUCAACCCCAUUCUGCCGUUGAUACUGGGUGGCUUGAUUGCGGUCGAGGUUGGCGGAAUUCGUUGCGUAGCGGUGAAAUGCAUAGAUAUGACGAAGAACACCGAUUGCGUAGGCAGCUGACCAGACCGCAAAUGACGCUCAUGCACGAAAGUGCGGGGAUCGAACAGGAUUAGAUACCCUGGUAGUCCGCACAGUAAACGAUGAAUACUUGUUUUCGGCGAUAUAAUGUCGGAGGCAAAGCGAAAGCGGUAAGUAUUCCACCUGGGGAGUACGCCGGCAACGGUGAAACUCAAAUGAAUUGACGGGG